Molecule: ribosomal RNA, 510 nt
Filed under: uncultured bacterium
Lineage: Bacteria
Description: bacterial SSU rRNA
Rfam family: Bacterial small subunit ribosomal RNA
Source: RNAcentral
GAUUCUGGCUCAGGAUGAACGCUAGCGACAGGCUUAACACAUGCAGGUCGAGGGGCAGCAUAAAAGUAGCAAUACUUGGUGGCGACCGGCGCACGGGUGAGUAACGCGUAUGCAACCUACCUAUCAGAGGGAAUAACCCGGCGAAAGUCGGACUAAUACCGCAUAAAACAGGGACACCGCAUGGCGAUAUUUGUUAAAGAAAUUCGCUGAUAGAUGGGCAUGCGUUCCAUUAGGUAGUUGGUGAGGUAACGGCUCACCAAGCCGACGAUGGAUAGGGGAACUGAGAGGUUGGUCCCCCACACUGGUACUGAGACACGGACCAGACUCCUACGGGAGGCAGCAGUGAGGAAUAUUGGUCAAUGGGCGAGAGCCUGAACCAGCCAAGUCGCGUGAAGGAAAGAAGGAUCUAUGGUUCGUAAACUUCUUUUGCAGGGGAAUAAAGUGCAGGACGUGUCCUGUUUUGUAUGUACCCUGAGAAUAAGGAUCGGCUAACUCCGUGCCAGCAGCUGC